This is a long non-coding RNA of Sapajus apella (tufted capuchin), 3623 nucleotides long. RefSeq lists it as uncharacterized. The transcript is spliced from 3 exons. NCBI's taxonomy places the organism in Eukaryota, Metazoa, Chordata, Mammalia, Primates, Cebidae. The record is from RefSeq and is a predicted model, not a curated record.
AGUGAUGCUGAAUGCAUGACAUUGUGUUUUUGUAGAUUUAUUUUUCUGUCCUUGUUCUAUAUUCUUUCGGAGGGAGACAGGGCUUAGAUGGCAACCAUUGCUUCAGCUAUCUGGAAUUCCUCAAUUUAUUUUAACUUUAUACACCGUCUUUUCUCCCACAUCUCUCUUCAUUAUGAGCAGACUCAUUCAUUCACAAUAUGUUUAGUGAGUGCUAUGUGCCAGGCAUGGUUCCAGGGAUAUAGUAAUAAACAAAACAAAUGUCUUUGUCCUCAUAAAUAUUAUAUUCCAGUGGUAGAGACAAAGAAUAAAACAAAUAAGUGAAUAUAUACUAUAAUGUUAGGUAGUGAUUAAUGCUAUGUUUAAAAAUAAACAAGCUAUGUGCAGUGGUACACUCCUGUCGUCCCAGCUGCUUGGGAGGCAGAGACAGAAUGAUCCCUUGAGCCUAGGAAUUUGAGUAGCCAAUGCACUUCAGCCUGAGCAACAAAACAAGACUCUCUCUAAAUGUAUAGCUGUAUCAGUCAAGAACUUGGGGACAUUCUAGUGCUACCUACAAUAGUUGAGAAAGACCUCUCUGAGAAAGUGUCACAUGAGUAACUUUUGUUUUGUUAUAGGAUAGUCAGUACAUCUGUUUAUAUGAGCAUUUACCUUUUGUAAAUCAAUAAGAUUUUGCCACUGAUUAGGUUUCCAUGAUAAAUUGUUUAAUUUUAAAACCUCUGUAGUAGAAUGGGCAUGUGAUAUUGUGAAAUUCAUACCAAAUAAGAAGAAUUUUACAGAAAGUAAAACCUCAAGCUGUCUACUAUUCAACUCUUCUUGUUCUGCUAUAGAGAACUGAUAUUGAUAGAAGAUUAUUUAAGGAACAUAUAUAAUCUAUCCUUUUCUUUAGAAACUCUACAUUUUAUGCUUAGACCAUCAGAAAAACUGUUUACUUGAAGACGGUUUAUAGAAAAACCCUUUACCCUGACGUAUAUUGAUUUGUUGCUUUUUGCUUUUUGAGACAGGAUCCCGCUGUGUCACCCACACUAGAAUGCAGCGGUAUGAUCUUAGCUCACUGCAACCUCAAAUUCUGGGGCUGAAGCAAUCCUUCUACCUCAGCCUCCCUGGUAGUUGGGACUACAGGCGUGUGCCACAAUACCUACCUAAUUUCUGAGUUGUUUUUUUAUAUUGAAGCCUUUAUCUUUCAUUGAGGAAUACUACAAUAAACAGUCUGAGCUUGCUGUUGAGAAGUUGUUGAGGACAACAUAGUCUUUUGUAUUAAUUAAUGUUUAACAUGUUAUGAAGAGUUCAUUUUAAUAUCACUUGUUUCUUAUAAGAAAGUGACAUUUUUAUCUCUUCAAGAAUGAAAAGUAGAAAACUAAACAUGUCUUACUUUUUGCUUUCACUGUCAAGAAAUCAGAAACAAAUUCAGAGCUAAUUCAAGACACUUCUGCCAUGUAUUUCCUCUUCUCCCCAAUCUUAUACUGUUCUGUUUUCCCUGAUUUUUUUUUUUUUUUUUUAGGUUGUCUCACUAAUUAUGGAACAAUGGCAGGGAUGUGUAUGACAGAGAGAGCAGAUAGAUACGUCAGUAGCCUGGAAUGCUGUUGCCUCCUCACAUCAUUAGUUGUAUGAGCAUAGGUGAGUUAGGCAACAUUUCUGGGCUGUUAAUUUCAUCUGCAAAAUGAGAGGAUUGAAAGAUCAAAUAUGUUUAGCUGCAGAACUAAAUGGGAAAUAAUUUAGAAGCCCAUGGGAAAUAAUUUAGAAGCCCAAAACUAUAAGCCAGUUAGUAGCAGAACUGCUGUGGUCAGGCCAUUGCCAUAGUGGCAGGGAAACUAAGCUUCAUUUUUUAUCCAGAUCAUAUUAGAACUGCCUCUUGGAACAAAGAAACACUACCUCCAGUGUUUCCACAGUACAGUGUUCUGUACUAUAGCCUUGACAACACUACUUUUUCCCCCACGACAGCCAAGUUUUACAUUGUGUAGCGGGCCUCCUUUUUGCCAUCUUCGUGAAGAUUCUGAAUUUUUCUGGAUGGAUAAAAAUCGUAAGAUAAUAAAUGGAUAUUUCUGUGUUGUUGUUUUUUUAAUCAAUGGUUUGCAAAAUCACCUGGAAGGCUUGGGAAAACACACAUUGCUGUGGGCUACCCACACAGGUUUCUGAUUUAUUAAGUCUGGGGUGACCAAUAAUUUGCAUUUUUAGCAACUUUCCAAAUGAUUCAGAAAUUAUACUUUGAGAACUACUAUCUUAUGUCAGUAUUAAAAAUGGAUUUUAGUACUUUUCUUAUUUUAAAAAUGACAUCAAAUUCUAUAACUUAGUAAUACUCAGAAGACAAUUCGUAUCUAAGUAAUAAAUGGUUUAAUGUUAAAAUCACAUUUGAAGUUUCCAAUGUCAUGGAGCAAGUGAGAAACUGGUUUGAAAGGUUUCCUAUCUAGGGUCAAGGCCUAUCUAUCCCUUUUUGACUUCUUGUGCUAUUGGUGCAAAUGGAUAGCAAUUAAUCCUCCAGCGAUCAGGAUUUGAUUCAGCAAUAAAGAAAUUAUUGAUGUCUGAAAGCAGCCCUUUCCUUUUCACAUGUUGGCAGCACCUAAGAAGAAUACGUCAGGGUCAAUAUAAGUGCACUUAUUGACAGUUCGGCUCUUUCCAAUGUUACAGAAAAUGAUUUCAAGUUUAGCUCUUAUCAAAAACAGAAAUACUGACUACUUUGAAUGAUAUAAACAAUAGCUUUCAGCUUAGUCAUUUUCCAUUUAUAAAGUGAUACUUUUAUAGAAAUAAACAAUGCAAACUUCAGAGAGCCAAAACAAUUACCCAGAAAAAUGAUUGCAUUUUUGCCAUUUUUAACUUAGAUUUAAAACAACUGUGUCUGGUAGUACCACUGUUUUGUGAUCUGUUAAGUUAAAACUAGUUAAAAUCACUUAAUGGUAAAAUACCGCCAAAAAGAGCAAUCAUCUUCAAUUACGUUCUUCAAGAUCACUUGUAUUCUCUGUUACUUCUCUUUCAGAGCCUGAGCCAUGUAUUUCUUAAACUUUUUCAUCAUCUAAAAUUUUGUAUUUAUAAAAUUUACACUAAAACCUCAAUUAUUAGUUUCAUGAAUCAGAAGUUGCAACUAGUUUCAUUUCUGGCUCACCAAGAUUUGUCAGUUUUUGGACGAAAGGGACUCCCUAUUCAGAGUAUCCCUUUAAAUCUUUUUUGAAAGUGUACCUUUGAUGUGUACAUGUUUUUAUGUUAAUUAUUGCUUCUGAACAUAUUCUGCGAAAAAAAUUAAGUUAUGGAAACAACCUAAAUGUCCACAAGCAGGAAGAUAAAUACAUUGUGAUAGAUCCAUACAAUGCAAUAUCAUUCAUUCAUAAAAAGGAAUAAAGUACUAAUACAUGAUAUAAUGUGAAUGAACCUCAAAAUCAUGAAAAUGGAAGAAGCCAGACAUAAAAGAGCAUAUAUUAUUUGAUUCCAUUUAUAUGAAGUAGCCAUAAUAGGUAAAUCCGUAGAAACAAAAAGUAGAUUGGUGGUUGCCAGGGGCUUGUAUGUAGUGAGGAAUGGGGAAUAAAUUUUUAAUAGGAAGAUAGGGUUUCUACUUAGGGUGCUAAAAAUGUUUUGAAGUAGAUAGAGAUAAUGGUUGCACAACACUGUGAAUAUAAUUUUAUGUGAAUUUCACCUCAAUU